Molecule: long non-coding RNA, 789 nt
Organism: Misgurnus anguillicaudatus (oriental weatherfish)
Lineage: Eukaryota; Metazoa; Chordata; Actinopteri; Cypriniformes; Cobitidae
Source: RefSeq, a predicted model, not a curated record
UUGCAUUUGAACUGUUUCAGUAAAAGGUUUACAGUAACUGAGUAGCUCACUGAAGAGGAAAACAUACUGACCUUACAUUUGCAUCACAGAAAUAACCACACCAGUAGUGAUACCAGGAGCAGAAAUGGGAGUAUCUGAAAUGUUUGGUAAUAUAGUAAUAAUGGCAAUAGUUGACGUAGCAGCAGGACUAGCAGUAGUAAUAGCAGUUGUAAUAAUAUGCUGUUGUCUGAAAAAAAAGAAAAAGUGUUGUUGGAGGCAACCCAUUGGACUGGCAGAGCAACACCCCUUGAAUUAUGUUGAAAACACCAGCGGAUAAAGAUGAAGAUUAACUCAAGGGAACGAGCGACAGAAAGAGAGAGAGAAACAAUGUGACUGUAUUGACCUUCAUCAAUAUAGCAUAAACAUAUUGUUUUAUAUGUUUCUCUGGGUAUAAAGAAUAUGAGGAUUAAUGCACUGCACACGACAUAGAGCAGCAAAAGCUCUUGUAACACCACCCUCCUCUGAAAAGCCAGCUGCCAGUGAAAGCUCAUUUGGAUUUAAAGGACAUACCAAAAAGGUGUCAUUUUUGCUCACACCUAUGAAGAGCCUAUUUUGACAUGCUAUAAUAAAUGAUCUAUGGGGUAUUUUGAGCUAAACCUUUACAUACGGACUAUGGAGACACCAGAGACUUAUUCUACAUCUUGUAAACAGGGGCUUGAAAUGCUCCUUCAAGGUUAUUGUUUUAUAUGAUUUGCAUCUGACUUAAUCUUUCAAAGACUAAGAAGACUUAGUGGGCGUCUGUAGCAGUAU